This 700-nucleotide unclassified non-coding RNA is filed under the name Hevea brasiliensis (rubber tree). The record is from RNAcentral. Lineage: Eukaryota; Viridiplantae; Streptophyta; Magnoliopsida; Malpighiales; Euphorbiaceae.
GUGAAAUUAACUCCUUUCGCACUUCUAGCUAUGCUCUUAUUUGUCCGCCUCCUCAUACUUCAAUGGAGGUGAUACAAAGUUAGGUCCAUACCACUGAUUCUUUAUGCAGUUUGAUCAGUCACUAAUGGGAAGAAAAGACUCACAACCCUUUUUUCCUUAAUAAUUUAACACUUCUAUUACACAUAACUGCACUUCACCUACACACUACAGCAAAUAAGGACCUAAAAUUGACAACUUUAGAGACUUUACAACUCUGACAAAGACAAAAUAAUAAAGGCAAGCAACAAAAACCAAUGCAUCUGCCUAUACCUACCUGCAUAUGACCACACUAAAAGCCUUUUGGCAUAAAUAAAAAUACCUCCCAAGUUGAGCAGGAGAGGAAAAAAGAAUAAAUUGAACCGGACAACAAACAGCUACGAUUGCCCAAAAGCAGGUGGACAAAAAUAUACACUAGCCAUUAAAUGCAACAAACAAUGUAUGCACAAGUUCUGCAUGUUCCUUGAUGUGCACGAGCGUCAGCUCUCUGGAGCUAUGCAAACAUGUUGAAUUGUAUAUUUAGAACCACCAUCAACUAGACCGUUGAUGCAAGAAUACAAAUCCUGAAUUCUCACGGAUUAAUGGAGGAGGUUCAACAUCACCAAUGUCUAUUUGUUGCAUCGUUUUGGAGAUGUCAUCCACGGAGAAUGGAAUGCUCGAAUCA